CGCCGUCAUGAUGUCGGAAUCACUACUAAUCGCGAAUCAGCCAUGUCGCGGUGAAUACGUUCUCGGGUCUUGUACACACCGCCCGUCAAACUAUGAGAGCUGGUAAUAUCUAAAACCGUGUUGCUAACCGCAAGGAAGCAGCAUGUCUAGGGUAGGGCCGGUGAUUGGAGUU
Molecule: ribosomal RNA, 172 nt
Filed under: Mycoplasmoides gallisepticum
Lineage: Bacteria; Bacillati; Mycoplasmatota; Mycoplasmoidales; Mycoplasmoidaceae
Description: partial 16S ribosomal RNA
Rfam family: Bacterial small subunit ribosomal RNA
Source: RNAcentral